CCUCCCACCUCAAGCCGCUCCUCCUCGCCUUCGUCGACGACCACCUGCUCCCGCCGCUCCCGCCGCUCGCGCCUGCACGCCACCUCCCGCUCCUCAUUGCCUCGCACCUCGCCUUCCCUGCCGACCACCCGCUCCACGACCACCUCGUCGCCACCGCCGCCUCCGCCCUCGCCUCCGCGUUCGUCGCGCAGCUCUCCGACCACCGACAAGAUCGAGCCAUACCUCUCCCUCUCUCCCAUGGCGCCAGAUCGAGCCGAUGAGGUCAGUCCACGACCAGAUCCGCCACGGCCACAGCGGGCCUUCCGGAUCCGUGUCGUCGUCGAGCUGGGUCCGCGCCUCGUCGUGCGGCCUCGUCUGCCCCCGCAGCUCGCCCUCGCGUCUCAACUCUCCGCACUCGACUUCGACUCCCUCCUCGACUCCGGGCCCGACGGGGCCCCGGUGCUCUUCAUCGCGUUCUACAAGCUACCGCCGCCCGCGGGUGGCGCGACCCUGUUCCUCCGGAUCGACACGGCCGCGUGCGACCGCGCGGCGUCUGCGGCGCUGCUGAAGGAGCUACUGGCGCAUCUGAGGUUUACGGAGGCCUGGGGGGUGGCCAAUCGGCUUGACCUCGUCAGGCCCAUCAUCGAGUAGCCCGAGUACAACCUCUUCUCCCGCCACAAGGGAGCUCCUCGACCUAAUGCGGUCGGGGAAGCUGGAGCCGGAAGCUGCAUUCCUUAAUGCAUUGCUGGUGCCGGGCGUGUUUCCAGUUCUCGCGGCGGCGCACAAGGCGCUGCUCUUCAAGUCGAGGGAGUCGCUGACCAUGAGGACCCUGCACUCGGAGCUCGUCUACAACUACUCUAGCUUGAAGCAUGUGGGUGUUUAGUCAUGGUUUUGAACCUGUCUGUCAGUUUCUUGCUGAUAACCCUGCUUGAAUUGACUUUGAAUCUCGCUGAACCUGUUAGUUUUUUUCUAAUUGCAUGAAUUUGAGUACCACAAGUCUGUGAAUAUAUACUGCAAACACCAGAGUUUCUUGCCCACCCUUCCUUUUCUCUAUCAUUCUUCUUUGAUGCUCCAUUCAUUCCUUCCUCUGCAAGCAACCUCCCUUUCUCAUUAUUCCCUGUAUUUUUUUGGUUCGCUAUAGUUCAGUAGGAUUUUUUAUCCCCUGGUGGUGUGAGGUAGAGUUUAAUGAUCUCCUAAAUUUUUGGCGGAAAAAGCCUGCACAUGGUAUUGUUCUUUUCCUGCUUUCACUUUGGAUAAAUGUCCUUUCUGCUCUUCUUUCCUUGGCUGAUGCUAUAGUUUAUUCUCUACUGAGUUUGUGUUGCAUGCUCAGCUUUGUGAUUGGCACCUACGGGGCAAUUGUUUUUGGAGAUUUGUGCAGUUCUGCUGUUUCUAGUUCAUCAUUUACUAUGUGCCGCUUUGUUCAUCAACUCAACUCAUAUGUUCAGUUCAAAGCGGCUUUAAUAAUCAAGAAACUAAUUCAUCACUAGGAGGAUUAGCCAUUGCAUGCUAAGGAUACUUAACAAUCUGAGGGUAUUUGUUUUGCAAGUAACUGGCUGGUGUUAGACUGUGAUUGGUUCUUGUUGAUGUCAUCCUUCUCUGCCUGUGGGAUCAUAGAACAUCCUCUGAUGUUUAGUUUGUUGCCGUAAUGGCAACGACAUCACCGAACGAUGCCAAGCGCAAGUACUCAUGGUGGUGGGACAGUCAUAUCUGCCCAAAGAACCCCAAAUGGCUUCAGGAGAAUCUCAAAGGUGACCAUUUGUGCUGCCGCCGCCAUCGUGCCGGUUGGAGGUGCUGCUGCUGCAUCUGGCGGAGCCGCAGCUACCGCCCCAAAGGGCAACCUUCAUCAAACACAACCCCAUGACAAGGCCUCAAGGUGAAUGGAGCUUGUGUUGUUGAUAGAACACCGUUGAUGACUUCUUCCUAUGUUGAAGAGCAUGUUCUGUGGUAUCCAAGAGUAGCUAGCUUUAACUUGGUAGAGCGUUUUAUUUUUCAAUCGCAAUAUUUGUGAUUGUGUGGAAUAUUGUAUGGUUAUGUACGUGAAGUUUUAAGUUCCUGGGCAUGCAAUAUUUGUAGGUUAAACUGGUUGUUGUGAUGUGAACAAGUGUAUGGAGUUUCACAUGUUCUGUUCUAUACAGAAUAUAUUGUAAUAAACCUAUUUUGGUUGUUAUUUGAAGAUCUUCA
Molecule: long non-coding RNA, 2160 nt
Organism: Triticum dicoccoides
Lineage: Eukaryota; Viridiplantae; Streptophyta; Magnoliopsida; Poales; Poaceae
Exons: 5
Source: RefSeq, a predicted model, not a curated record